UCACUAUGCCCACGGUGGUCUAGAACUCCUGGUGAUCCUCCUGACUCAGCUUCUCCAGUGCUGGGAUGACAGAUGUGCACCACCACGCCCAGGAGAUUAAAACUGGUCUUUAGGAAAACUACUAGUAAAAAUGAGCUUCAACUAACAUGUUCAAGCAGCUAUGCGUUAAUUGGAAUACAUUUUAAGCUCCAGCUACACCAUGUUAACUUUGAAGAAAUACGUGCAUGCAGUGGAGAUGGUUUUCAUGACUCACCUGCCAAAAACAGACCCUACGGGAUGGUUAAAGUUGUUCACCUGCAUAUCUGAGCCUCCGUUGUAACUUCCGUUGUCACUGAAGCAGGGACCUGUGCUAGCUGAGAUCAGGAAAAUACCCAUUCUACAGACACAAACACCAAGACUGCCAGUGACAGCAUCCUAACGUGACACUCCUGCUGCACUGGACUUGAUUCUGCUUCACUCCACCGCUGCUCACUGCUGGAAUCGCCUCCCUCCCUCCCUGGUUCUCUCCAGCUCCUGGCUUCCUGUCCUCUCUGCUGCAGGCUCCUGUUUGCUGCUUACUGUUUGAAUAUCCACGGUGCACACAGGGCCUCCCAAAAACGGAAAUUUCUGCUCUUUUGGUUUUGGUUUAUUGAGACUCAUGAAGGAAAUAAUGUUAGACACAUGAUUACAUUAGUGAUCAUUUUCCUUUUAUUGCCAGAAAUUACAAUGUAUUGUAACUGAAUCUUUCCAGAGAGAAUUAUAGGAGCCAGGUGUGGUGGUGCACACCUGUGAUCCCAGCUCCUGGGAGGCCAAGGCAGGACGAUUGCAGCAAGUUCGAGGCCAACCUGGAAUACAUAGCGAAACCCUGCCUCAAAAAAAAAAGGGAAUAGGAG
Molecule: long non-coding RNA, 872 nt
Filed under: Chinchilla lanigera (long-tailed chinchilla)
Lineage: Eukaryota; Metazoa; Chordata; Mammalia; Rodentia; Chinchillidae
Description: lncRNA (ENSCLAG00000025381.1)
Source: RNAcentral